GACGAACGCUGGCGGCGUGCCUAAUACAUGCAAGUAGAACGCUGAAGAGAGGAGCUUACUCUUCUUGGAUGAGUUGCGAACGGGUGAGUAACGCGUAGGUAACCUGCCUUGUAGCGGGGGAUAACUAUUGGAAACGAUAGCUAAUACCGCAUAACAAUGGAUGACACAUGUCAUUUAUUUGAAAGGGGCAAUUGCUCCACUACAAGAUGGACCUGCGUUGUAUUAGCUAGUAGGUGAGGUAAUGGCUCACCUAGGCGACGAUACAUAGCCGACCUGAGAGGGUGAUCGGCCACACUGGGACUGAGACACGGCCCAGACUCCUACGGGAGGCAGCAGUAGGGAAUCUUCGGCAAUGGGGGCAACCCUGACCGAGCAACGCCGCGUGAGUGAAGAAGGGUUUCGGAUCGUAAAGCUCUGUUGUAGGUCAAGAACGGGUGUGAGAGUGGAAAGUUCACACUGUGACGGUAGCUUACCAGAAAGGGACGGCUAACUACGUG
RNAcentral lists this ribosomal RNA (497 nucleotides) under uncultured bacterium. Its description in RNAcentral is "partial 16S ribosomal RNA". It matches the Rfam family "Bacterial small subunit ribosomal RNA", at positions 28 to 507 of the family's 1533-position model. The record is from RNAcentral.